This 200-nucleotide ribosomal RNA is filed under the name uncultured bacterium. Its description in RNAcentral is "partial 16S ribosomal RNA". It matches the Rfam family "Bacterial small subunit ribosomal RNA", at positions 30 to 233 of the family's 1533-position model. The record is from RNAcentral.
AUUGAACGCUGGCGGCAGGCCUAACACAUGCAAGUCGAGCGCGAAAGUUCUUCGGAAUGAGUAAAGCGGCGGACGGGUGAGUAAUACAUGGGAAUCUGCCUGGUAGUGGGGGACAACGUUUCGAAAGGAACGCUAAUACUGCAUACGCCCUACGGGGGAAAGGGGGGGAUCUUCGGACCUCUCGCUAUCAGAUGAGCCCA